Molecule: ribosomal RNA, 306 nt
Filed under: uncultured bacterium
Lineage: Bacteria
Description: bacterial SSU rRNA
Rfam family: Bacterial small subunit ribosomal RNA
Source: RNAcentral
GACGAACGCUGGCGGCAUGCCUAACACAUGCAAGUCUAGGGGUAGCAAUACCACUGGCGCACGGGUGAGUAACACGUAGGUUAUCUGCCCCCAUCACAGACACUAACCCGGGAACCGGGGACUAAUAUCUGAUGAGGUCGCGAGAUCAAAGCUUCGGCGGAGUGGGGAGUGAGCCUGCGGCUGAUUAGCUAGUUGGUGAGGUAAUGGCUCACCAAGGCGACGAUCAGUAGCUGGUCUGAGAGGACGAACAGCCACACUGGAACUGAGACACGGUCCAGACUCCUACGGGAGGCAGCAGUGAGGAAU